This is a long non-coding RNA of Triticum aestivum (bread wheat), 1002 nucleotides long. RefSeq lists it as uncharacterized. The record is from RefSeq and is a predicted model, not a curated record. The transcript is spliced from 3 exons. NCBI's taxonomy places the organism in Eukaryota, Viridiplantae, Streptophyta, Magnoliopsida, Poales, Poaceae.
AAAAAACAUGCACGUUCUCCGCCUCCUCCCCCGACCUGCCAGUUUCCAUCCCCAGAUCUCUCUCUCGCUCUUCCUAACCAGAACCACGAGGGCGAUCAUCUCCCCCGACCUCCAACUCCACCGCUCCAGGCUCCGGCAGCUAGGUCGCCGCCAUCUCCCAUCCACUCAACAUCUCCAACAUAUCCGAAUCUUUGCGCGCGGCGCACAGAUGCCGCUCGGCCUUGACAUCCCCAUUGGCCUUGCCUCCUGAGUCCUGACCCAAGUCCUAGGGUCACGGUCCAAGAUUGGAAGGGCGACAUGCGGCUUGGUGGUGCUGCGGCGGACGGCAACGAUCCAAGAUUGGCAGGUUACUAACAGAAGCCACGGACACCAGGAACACUCGAUUGAUAUCUCCCUCCCUCUAUUCCUCUCUUGGGGUUUUUCUGAUUGGUAUUUUUGUGGACGGAAGACAAAUCUAAGGAAGAAGAUGAGGUGGGAAGCUAACCAGAAACUUGCCGGACCUCGAGAAACCCUGUGUUCUGGAUCUGGGAGGCACCAACUUCAGCGUGCUGAGGGUGCAGCUGGGAGGAAAAGAUAGGCGUGUCGUUGACACUGAAUCCGAGCAAGUGUCGAUCCCAGAGGAAAUCAUGCAUGGCACAACUGAGUGUGCACUAUAUGGGUUUGCUCUAGGGCAAGGAGGCGGUGACGAGCUGAAGGCGGCCAAAGCAAUAUCUUCCCCGUCUAUGAGCUCCAAAUAUGUGUCUCAGCAUGAAGGAUUCGGACAUGGCCAUUGGAGUUUGAACAUGACACCGUUGAUGGAGAGAAGAAGAGAUCCCCAUAUACACUGUGAACAAUUGGGUUGACGGCGUCGCAUCUCGGAACACACUACAAGAAAUAUGUAGCUGUCUCCCUCCCUUAUACAUGUUGUUUUGACUCAGGCGAGAUAUAUUAUAAUUUACCUGACAUGAACUCUAUUUAUCAUGUAAAAUGUACAAUCUAAUUAUGGGUUUUAAGUGUUGUUUC